GACGAACGCUGGCGGCGUGCUUAACACAUGCAAGUCGAACGCUGAAGCUCAGCUUUUGUUGGGUGGAUGAGUGGCGAACGGGUGAGUAACACGUGAGUAACCUGCCCUCUUCUUUGGGAUAACGCCCGGAAACGGGUGCUAAUACUGGAUAUUCACUGAUCUUCGCAUGGGGGUUGGUGGAGAGGUUUGUUCUGGUGGGGGAUGGGCUCGCGGCCUAUCAGCUUGUUGGUGGGGUGAUGGCCUACCAAGGCUUUGACGGGUAGCCGGCCUGAGAGGGUGACCGGUCACAUUGGGACUGAGAUACGGCCCAGACUCCUACGGGAGGCAGCAGUGGGGAAUAUUGCACAAUGGGCGAAAGCAUGAUGCAGCGACGCCGCGUGAGGGAUGGAGGCCUUCGGGUUGUAAACCUCUUUCGCUAAUGGUCAAGCCGCGACGUGGGUUGUGGUGAGGGUAGUGGGUAAAGAAGCGCCGGCUAACUACGUG
RNAcentral lists this ribosomal RNA (483 nucleotides) under uncultured bacterium. RNAcentral's name for it is "partial 16S ribosomal RNA". It matches the Rfam family "Bacterial small subunit ribosomal RNA", at positions 28 to 507 of the family's 1533-position model. The record is from RNAcentral.